GGUACUGAGGGGCUCCAAUGGCCACUGGCCUUAGAGGGGAGAGGUCGGCGACGGCAAAAGCCCAUUGAAGGUGGCGGGUUGCCGGAGGCAGAGGCGAGACGGCGCGGGAGCACCACCAUCUGGGUGGAGCUGGAAAUCCGAUGGCCAGCAUAGGAGGUGAGGAUCGGAGGUGGUCAGAUUAGGAAGGAUGGACUAAGGAUGGGGGCGUCCAACAGGUGGAUAGCGCGGCAACCGCCGCUCGGGGUGGCGGAGGCAGGGCGAGGGUAGAGGUGUGCUGGGGAAGGGGUCGGUGAGGUGGGCCUUGAUGCGUCUCUAAACCAUAGCUCCUGCAUGAGUUCCACGAGCUAGAUAGGAGCUCCCGAGACAAAAGGCAGAGAAGUUGAAGGUUGCGACAAAAUGAUGAGAAACCACCGGUUUUGUUUUUCUUAGAGGGAGAAGGGAGCCCGUCUAGAAAUUCUUGGAGAAUUGUUUUUUAGAUGCUUAUAAGUAAACACAUUGAAACAAUAAAGAUCAAGUUUUGCAAUGUGUUGGUAAUCUCGGAUCUCCUUUAGUUUUUCUAAUUCUUGCAUGCUCAGUUUUGAUUUUUAGAUCGACUAAUUAUUCGACGUGUUUGUUAGACUUGUUUUGAUCCAUUAAAAACUAUAUACUAGGGUACGAGAAGUUUGAUUGGUGAGCCAUUUUUGUUAAUAGUUGGCAGCAUCGUCUGAUGCACUCUCUGGUCUGGAACUCUAGACUUUUUUUUUUGACCCUGGUAGUUCCUACCUAUUUUUUUAUAAUCUUUUUAUUCCAACCCCUUUAAUUCGCUCCAAGGGGAAGUCGAGUCCAAAUCUACUGGAUGCUACUCUAGACUUUGGAUUGACGUGAUUCUAGUUGAGCUAGUUUCAUAAUUUCAUAACAUAUUUUAAACAUACGUUUUAGUGAAUGAUCCAAAUCUGUAUUUAGGGUACAAUAGUGUAAUAUCCCUAAAUUCAAAAGCAUUUAAAAAUGAGGACCUUUUAAGAUUUUUCCAAACAAACUUAAAAAUUAAUCUUCUUUCCCCAUCAUAUUCAAAAUAUUUAAAAUACAUUCAUAACUGUGCAUAAACAGCACAUGAUUGUGCAUUUGAGUUCUCUAGAAUUAGAAAGAUCCAAAGCUCUUAAACAUUCCUCAAAUUUGAACUAAACCUAAACCUCAUUCCAAACGAAUAAUAAAGCCUACUAUUUACCAACGGGCCACCACCUCACCUUCUUCCCCUUUGGCCCAGCCAGCUCGGCCCAUUCAGCCUGCUCUCCCUCGCCAACGACGCCACCGGAUCCACCUCCCCCGGCCGUGUCCCUACCCUGCACUGUUACCGCCUCACAGCUGCACCUACUCUCACACUAAUUCCCUCGUCAGUACACCCCCUCCCCCUCUCACAACCUCGGCCAGCCACCCUUGCACGCGCAACACCGCAGCCAUGCCGCGGCGACCACCGAGCCAAUCUGCUGGCCUCGGCUUUCUCCCACAACACUGAGGAGAACGCCCCAAGUCCCAUGCCACCCUCCACCACCAUGGCCACUCCUCUAACCCCGAGAGCUCCUCCCUCGCCCCUUUGCCACAUGCGCUAGAGUGCAUGCCCGUGCUCAGUGCCUCUGCUACCAUGACCCGCCACCAAAGCUCGUCUCCUCGCCCCGUCCUUAUCAACGAGCUUGAGGUCAUCUGGGAGCUCGAGCUCACCCGUCAGAGCCUCCCCUGGUGAUAAACAGCCCCCUCCCGGCACCUCCUCAUCGUGCACCACCACCUCUUCCC
RNAcentral lists this long non-coding RNA (1767 nucleotides) under Setaria viridis. RNAcentral describes it as "long non-coding RNA (SVIR_LNC001964)". Lineage: Eukaryota; Viridiplantae; Streptophyta; Magnoliopsida; Poales; Poaceae. The record is from RNAcentral.